This is a long non-coding RNA of Harpegnathos saltator (Jerdon's jumping ant), 1277 nucleotides long. RefSeq lists it as uncharacterized. The record is from RefSeq and is a predicted model, not a curated record. The transcript is spliced from 4 exons. NCBI's taxonomy places the organism in Eukaryota, Metazoa, Arthropoda, Insecta, Hymenoptera, Formicidae.
CUCCCGCGACACGUCACCGCCGCGUUUUCCGGCUUCGCCUGCGGCAGCCGCGAUAAAUUUCUUUUUUUAUCAAGAGACACAGUAGUGCCUCGCGUCUAGUUCAAGCGCAACGAAGUUGCGCCCGAACGGCACGAAGUACACCGUGCUUAUAUUAUUACGCGAAACUGCGAGUUCAAACGAGGUGAGAUAUUCAUAUUUCAGCAAUGGCUGAACCGAGCGAGGUUUUUUUAGUCCCAAUCGAUUCGGCCUUAAAAAAUAGGAAGCAAAAUGUUCUUAUGAUUUUUGUGUACGUUGUCUCUAAGUGGAAGUAUUUUAAGAUAAAGUCCGAAUCACGGAAAAUUUCGAUUCAGUAAGAAAGUAAGUAAGAAACGUCGGACGCACAGGAGUGGGGAUAUGCGUGCAUCUCGUUUUUCCGACACCAGAGGCGCUACGAGAGCGCUGAAGAAGCAGACAGCAGCGAAUGCGAGCGAGUAAGCGAGAGAUAUGCUAGAAUACAGUAUUUGUAAUCAGUGACUCGCCGUUUCUCGGCCCGACGCAUGUAUAUCCUGCGAAGCGAAAGAGCUCUCUCGCUCUUUCGGCGUUUCCAACGGAGACAGUUUGGUAACGCAUUCCGCGAACGAUUAACAGGUCUGUUCUUUUCCGUUGAACUGUAGGCUGCACUUUUUGUCGUUUGGCUGAAAGAAGCGCGCAGCCCGCUGCUGAGGGCUAGCACUGGCUCGGCUCAAAAGAACAAACCUAAUUAACGGCGUGAGCUUCACUUGGCCUACCACAAAACUCUGGAACGUCGUUAACCCUUUGUGUGGCACAUAUUUUCUACCUGAUAGAUUUCUCUUCAUGAAACAAUGCGAUGUAUGGCGCAAGAGCACAAAUCAAGAUGACAUAAAUAUUAAGCUUGUUUCGUUUGUCUACUGGACAAGGAAUCUUUGUGUGUGUGUGUGUGCGCGUACAUAUGUGUGUUCUUUUCUGCUUCGACACCAUGUCGCAUUCGACGCAUGUUAUGCGUUUCAUUCUAAAGAUAAAAAGCACAACCCUGUUCAUCUAAGAACAGAGACCUAUUGUACGUUUCAUGAAAUUAAAACAUGGAAAUAUAAUACUUUCAGACAACAUAACGUCUAAAACAUGUCUUAGAGAUAUUCUAAAACAAGAUAUUUAUUUCUCAGUUUCUAAAAUUUCUGAUAUUGGAUUUCACGUGAAGUUUAAAUGUCUGAAAAAUAUCUUAAAAAUGUCUUUGCAUGAAAAACCUAGGGUUGGGAAACUUACUUUGUAAAAGUAUCUAG